This 67-nucleotide transfer RNA is filed under the name Myospalax aspalax (false zokor). RNAcentral's name for it is "tRNA-Thr". The record is from RNAcentral. Lineage: Eukaryota; Metazoa; Chordata; Mammalia; Rodentia; Spalacidae.
GCUUAGGUAGUAUACUUAUUACCUUGGUCUUGUAAACCAAAAAUGGAGAACCGCUCUCCCCCAAGCA